UCGGUCUAUAUGAUGAUGGCUGCGU
Molecule: non-coding RNA, 25 nt
Filed under: Drosophila melanogaster (fruit fly)
Lineage: Eukaryota; Metazoa; Arthropoda; Insecta; Diptera; Drosophilidae
Source: RNAcentral